RNAcentral lists this ribosomal RNA (373 nucleotides) under uncultured organism. RNAcentral describes it as "bacterial SSU rRNA". It matches the Rfam family "Bacterial small subunit ribosomal RNA", at positions 526 to 896 of the family's 1533-position model. The record is from RNAcentral.
CGAAGGGUGCAAGCGUUACUCGGAAUUACUGGGCGUAAAGCGUGCGUAGGUGGUUCGUUAAGUCUGAUGUGAAAGCCCUGGGCUCAACCUGGGAAUGGCAUUGGAAACUGGCGACCUAGAGUGCGGUAGAGGGUAGUGGAAUUCCCGGUGUAGCAGUGAAAUGCGUAGAGAUCGGGAGGAACAUCUGUGGCGAAGGCGACUGCCUGGACCAGCACUGACACUGAGGCACGAAAGCGUGGGGAGCAAACAGGAUUAGAUACCCUGGUAGUCCACGCCCUAAACGAUGCGAACUGGAUGUUGGGUGCAACUAGGCACUCAGUAUCGAAGCUAACGCGUUAAAGUUCGCCGCCUGGGGAGUACGGUCGCAAGACUG